RNAcentral lists this non-coding RNA (27 nucleotides) under Rattus norvegicus (Norway rat). The record is from RNAcentral. Lineage: Eukaryota; Metazoa; Chordata; Mammalia; Rodentia; Muridae.
UAAUCAGUGGUUGGUGGUGAUAGAUAC